This 1041-nucleotide long non-coding RNA is filed under the name Equus asinus (donkey). RNAcentral's name for it is "lncRNA (ENSEASG00005026504.1)". Lineage: Eukaryota; Metazoa; Chordata; Mammalia; Perissodactyla; Equidae. The record is from RNAcentral.
CGAAGCUGGGUCAGUCCCCGCGGGAGGCCGAGUACAACCCGCCCCGCAGGACCGCGUGUGGCUGGGGCAAAGGGUCUGUUGGACUCCCCGCCGGGCAGGCCGCUCCUGCGCGGAACACGGGGAUGUCCCAUCCCUGCAUCACCGCGCACUUGGGACCCUCUCUGCGCCCCUACGCGACCAGUGCUGUGACUUCCUCCCUGAGCAGCCCCGGCUGCGCCUCCAGGGACCGGCUGGGUUUGGAGGCAGCGGCUGGCUAAGUGAUGCAGAAUAAAGCGGCAAUGACCCAGUGAGGAAGGAAAAUGAGCACAGCCUGCCCUGGUCACACAAUUAAAACAUAUACGCUGGCCAAAGGUACUGCCCUCCUCCACCUCUUCCUUCAGAGAGAGAAGGGCCCUUUUUGACCUGGAAGCCUAUUAAAGCAUUCCACUGGGGAAUUCUCUGACCCUUCUGAAGGGAUGCUGUGAGAAACCUUGUUCCUUAGAAUGCAGCCACACAAAGGGUUUUGUGCAAAUACUGAGCCAUUAUUCUGUAAAUGCAAAGAAGCAUUAGGGAUGGUAUGUGAACAAAAACUGGACAGAGGAUGCACGCCCAGAUGCUGUCUUGGCCAGGUUGCAAUUUGAAUGAUCUAAUGUUUUCUGGCUCCUUCUUACUUUGCUUUUCCAAUUUGGUUUGAAUAUUUGCAUUACUGUAUUAUUUUCCCUGUACAAUUGCUGUUGUCUGUACACAAUUAGGUCAUUUUUAUAGUUGGGUGAGGAGAUGCUUCAGACGUGAGAGGAGCUACAGUUGGUAGCUGGCUCCCCCCUGGGAUGUACGCUGAGAUCCCCAUUCCAUUGGUUCCAAAGACUCUACCUGUGCCCAGGUCCUGAAAGUUUUAAUGUAGGUCAUCCAACCAAGUGGAAAGAACCACAGCAUCUCUUUGUAAUGGUGGGUAAGCACAUCUUGUUUCUAUAAGUUUCGGGUUGGUUUGCUGAUUUAAUCAUGCUGUUCCUUGGGCCAAAUCUGACCCUGUAUUGCUAUGCUCCAGACAAAAGAAAGGACUCU